This 784-nucleotide ribosomal RNA is filed under the name Venturia convolvularum. Its description in RNAcentral is "partial large subunit ribosomal RNA". It matches the Rfam family "Eukaryotic large subunit ribosomal RNA", at positions 101 to 908 of the family's 3401-position model. Lineage: Eukaryota; Fungi; Ascomycota; Dothideomycetes; Venturiales; Venturiaceae. The record is from RNAcentral.
GCAACAGCUCAAAUUUGAAAUCUGGCGCAAGCCCGAGUUGUAAUUUGCAGAGGAUGUUUCGGGUGAAGCCACGGUCCAAGUCCCUUGGAACAGGACGUCAUAGAGGGUGAGAACCCCGUACCUGGCCGUCGGUGCCCCCCGCUGUGAAACUCCUUCGACGAGUCGAGUUGUUUGGGAAUGCAGCUCUAAAUUGGUGGUAAAUUCCAUCUAAAGCUAAAUACCGGCCAGAGACCGAUAGCGCACAAGUAGAGUGAUCGAAAGAUGAAAAGCACUUUGAAAAGAGAGUUAAAAAGUACGUGAAAUUGUUGAAAGGGAAGCGCUUGCGGCCAGACUUGCCCGCGGUUGCUCAGCCCGCCUUUUGGCGGGUGCACUCUUCCGCGGUCAGGCCAGCAUCGGUUUGGGCGGCCGGAUAAAGGCGCCGGGAACGUGGCCUCCCCUCGGGGAGGUGUUAUAGCCCGGCGCGCAAUGCGACCAGCCCGGACCGAGGUUCGCGCUCUGCUAGGAUGCUGGCGUAAUGGCCGUAAGCGGCCCGUCUUGAAACACGGACCAAGGAGUCUAACAUCUAUGCGAGUGUUUGGGUGUCAAACCCGUGCGCGUAAUGAAAGUGAACGGAGGUGGGAACCGCAAGGUGCACCAUCGACCGAUCCUGAUGUCUUCGGAAGGAUUUGAGUAAGAGCAUAGCUGUUGGGACCCGAAAGAUGGUGAACUAUGCGUGAAUAGGGUGAAGCCAGAGGAAACUCUGGUGGAGGCUCGCAGCGGUUCUGACGUGCAAAUCGAUCGUCAA